CAAAAAUUCUAAAAGAAUGUCCUUCUAUCAACAAAAACUAUUGUUAUCCUAAUUUCUAAAUCAAAAUUUUAAGUUUAUAAUAUUUCUCUACAAAAAUGAUAACUUUACUAAAAUAACCAUUUCAGGAAUAUUUAUUUAAAAAUAGAACCUAUUGAUCAAAAAUUCUAAAAGAAUAUCUAUCUAUCAACAAAAGGUCUUGUUAUCCGAAUUUCUCAAUCACAAUCUCAAAUCUACAAUAUUUCUCUACAAAAAAAUGAUAAUUUUCCUAAAAGAGCAGUUUUUAGAAAACUUAUUUAAAAGAUGAUACAUAUUGCUCAAAAAUUCUAAAAGAAUGAUGACUUUCCCAAAAUAUUUUUCUACAAAAAUGAUGACUUUCCCAAAAUAGCAGUUUCUAUAAAACUUAUUUAAAAAUUGCAACCUAUUGCUAUAAAAUUUUAAAAGAAUGUCCAUCUAUCAACAAAAACUCUUGUUAUCCUAAUUUCUCAAUCACAAUCUCAAAUCUACAAUAUUUCUCUACAAAAAUGGUUACUUUCCCAAAAUAGCAAUUUCAGGAAUAUUUAUUUAAAAAUAGAAUCUAUUGAUCAAAAAUUCUAAAAGAAUGUCUAUCUGUCAACAAAAUCUCUUGUUAUUAUAAUUUCUCAAUCACAAUCACAAAUCUACAAUAUUUCUUUACAAAAGUAAUAACUUUUCUAAAAUAGCAGUUU
Molecule: long non-coding RNA, 704 nt
Filed under: Brassica napus (rape)
Lineage: Eukaryota; Viridiplantae; Streptophyta; Magnoliopsida; Brassicales; Brassicaceae
Description: long non-coding RNA (BNAP_LNC005630)
Source: RNAcentral